RNAcentral lists this ribosomal RNA (267 nucleotides) under uncultured prokaryote. RNAcentral's name for it is "partial 16S ribosomal RNA". It matches the Rfam family "Bacterial small subunit ribosomal RNA", at positions 524 to 788 of the family's 1533-position model. The record is from RNAcentral.
UACGUAGGGUGCGAGCGUUGUCCGGAAUUACUGGGCGUAAAGAGCUCGUAGGUGGUUUGUCACGUCGUCUGUGAAAUUCCGGGGCUUAACCUCGGGCGUGCAGGCGAUACGGGCAAUACUUGAGUGCUGUAGGGGAGACUGGAAUUCCUGGUGUAGCGGUGAAAUGCGCAGAUAUCAGGAGGAACACCGGUGGCGAAGGCGGGUCUCUGGGCAGUAACUGACGCUGAGGAGCGAAAGCAUGGGUAGCGAACAGGAUUAGAUACCCCU